This 380-nucleotide unclassified non-coding RNA is filed under the name Hevea brasiliensis (rubber tree). Lineage: Eukaryota; Viridiplantae; Streptophyta; Magnoliopsida; Malpighiales; Euphorbiaceae. The record is from RNAcentral.
AAGUGCAAUGGGCAAGAAAUAGUUUAGUUCUAGUUUAACACCUCUGACGUGAUUUAGGCCAUUGUCCAUAUCAUGUUAUGUUUAUGCUUCCUACCUGCCCUCUCAAUAUGUGUGUUUGUGUCUAUGCUAGUGGCCUUUAUGGUAUGACAACUUAGUUGCAGCUUCCUCUGAUGUAGUUCACCAAAGAGAUUCAAUUUCUCUCAGGGAAUGGAAAUGAAUCCAUAUUUUGGAUUUACACUUUUAACAUAUAGGAGGAAAAACAAAGCUGAAAAAAGGGAGGGAAUGAUCAAGGAUAAGCAACUUGCAAAUUGAUGCUAAAAUCAGCUGUGGCAUGUUGCUGGUUGCAGAAUUUAUUAUCCCUGUUGGAUCUGUUUCAUGGA